This is a long non-coding RNA of Symphalangus syndactylus (siamang), 168 nucleotides long. RefSeq lists it as uncharacterized. The record is from RefSeq and is a predicted model, not a curated record. Lineage: Eukaryota; Metazoa; Chordata; Mammalia; Primates; Hylobatidae.
AAACAGAGUUUUGCUGUCACCCAGGCUGGAGUGCAAUGGCGUGAUCUCGGUCCACUGCAACCUCCACCUCCCAGAGAAAUGCAUUAAAGCACCAACUGCCAUGCCAGAUGGCUCUGGCACUCAGGUCUGCCUCUUUCUCCCACUGGCAUCUGAAACACAGCAGCCCUG